UACGUAGGGGGCAAGCGUUGUCCGGAUUCAUUGGGCGUAAAGAGCGUGUAGGCGGCCAGGUAGGUCGGUUGUGAAAACUGGAGGCUCAACCUUCAGACGUCGACCGAAACCAUCUGGCUAGAGUCCGGGAGAGGAGAGUGGAAUUCCUGGUGUAGCGGUGAAAUGCGCAGAUAUCAGGAAGAACACCCGUGGCGAAGGCAGCUCUCUGGGUCCCUACCGACGCUGGGGUGCGAAAGCAUGGGGAGCGAACAGG
Molecule: ribosomal RNA, 253 nt
Filed under: uncultured bacterium
Lineage: Bacteria
Description: partial 16S ribosomal RNA
Rfam family: Bacterial small subunit ribosomal RNA
Source: RNAcentral